UAGGUUUCUGCUAAGUCGCAAGACGAUGUAUAGGAGCUGACGCCUGCCCGGUGCUGGAAGGUUAAGGGGAUCUGUUAGAGCAAUCGAAGCAGUGAACUUAAGCCCCAGUAAACGGCGGCCGUAACUAUAACGGUCCUAAGGUAGCGAAAUUCCUUGUCGGGUAAGUUCCGACCCGCACGAAAGGCGUAACGAUUUGGGCACUGUCUCAACAACAGACUCGGUGAAAUUGUAAUUCCGGUGAAGAUGCCGGAUACCUGCGACAGGACGGAAAGACCCCAUGGAGCUUUACUGUAGCUUGACAUUGGGUCUUGGUACUACAUGUACAGGAUAGGUGGGAGGCUUUGAAACCAGGACGCCAGUUUUGGCGGAGCCAUCCUUGGGAUACCACCCUUGUAGUACUGGGACUCUAACCAUAGGCCAUGAAUCUGGUCUUGGGACACUGUCAGGUGGGCAGUUUGACUGGGGCGGUCGCCUCCCAAAAGGUAACGGAGGCGCUCAAAGGUUCUCUCAGUACGGUCGGAAAUCGUACGUAGAG
RNAcentral lists this ribosomal RNA (535 nucleotides) under Clostridioides difficile. RNAcentral's name for it is "partial 23S ribosomal RNA". It matches the Rfam family "Bacterial large subunit ribosomal RNA", at positions 1816 to 2349 of the family's 2925-position model. The record is from RNAcentral. Lineage: Bacteria; Bacillati; Bacillota; Clostridia; Peptostreptococcales; Peptostreptococcaceae.